CCUACGGGGCGCAGCAGUGAGGAAUAUUGGUCAAUGGGCGGAAGCCUGAACCAGCCAAGUAGCGUGCAGGAUGACGGCCCUACGGGUUGUAAACUGCUUUUAUACGGGAAUAACGCGCCUUACGUGUAGGGCUUUGCAUGUACCGUAUGAAUAAGGACCGGCUAAUUCCGUGCCAGCAGCCGCGGUAAUACGGAAGGUACGGGAGUUAUCCGGAUUUAUUGGGUUUAAGGGGAGCGUAGGCCGCAUGUCAAGCGUGCUGUGAAAUUUCCGGGCUCAACCCGGGCCUUGCAGCGCGAACUGGCGUGCUUGAGUCCGCGGAAAGCAGGCGGAAUUCGUCGUGUAGCGGUGAAAUGCUUAGAUAUGACGAAGAACCCCGAUUGCGAAGGCAGCUUGCUGCAGCGGAACUGACGCUGAUGCUCGAAAGCGCAGGUAUCGAACAGAAUUAGAUACCCCUGUAGUC
Molecule: ribosomal RNA, 460 nt
Filed under: uncultured bacterium
Lineage: Bacteria
Description: partial 16S ribosomal RNA
Rfam family: Bacterial small subunit ribosomal RNA
Source: RNAcentral